CUUGAGGAACAAACGUGUGUAUACUUGGUAUUCUUCGUCACCAAAUUCAGUAGGAUCAUGUCUUGCAUGCUCAUAGAGAUCACAGAACUGGUGAAUUAAACGCUGGCCACUUCCAUUUAACGGUGUGGCAAGUGUGAAGCCAGAGCUCUCAAUCUGACAUGACAAUAAAGCAGCUUACCUAAACUUUUUACAUCGUCAACUGCUUUCAGUCUGUAAUAAUGUGGUGGAGCUUGACCUCCUGAAGUCAGAAUAUAUCUAGGAUCACUGAUGAGUUGUGGUUCGUACUGGAUUCUAGGAAUAUGAGGACCUCGACGGGAUCUCAGGGCGAACCUCAUGAUUUGACGUUUUGCGAAAAUGAAUAGUAAUAAUAUCGUCAAAACGCCUGCUGCUAUGAAUAUCACUAUGGUUACACCGGAGAGUUCCUGCGACAUUUUUGUACAACAAUCGACGAGCUUCGCUUCAGUAAAUUGUCAGAAAUGCUUUCUUUUGCUAAGAAAGAAACAUAUGCCGUGUCGAAUUAAUCAUAUAAACUCCACGACACGAACUUGCAAAUAGAAAAAUCUACACCGCACUGAUUAGCGUACAGAGUCGUAUCUCGCGCGCGUCGCCAUGAACCCAAACGAAACACUUUAUCUCAUAGCUAUAUUUAUACAUUAUGCUUUUGAAUUUUUAAGAUAACAGAAAACAAUUCACUUAAACAAUACUACUUUAAUGACUGCAGUUUUGUAUUAUUUGUCGCUACCAAAUUACCAAUACCGAAUUUCAAUAAAUAUACUUUGCAAAAUAUAACUAAAUUUAUAUUAAAAAAUUAAUUUUUUUGAAAAAAUCAGAAGUCAAAAACUUUUAAACCAAUUAUUCAGAAAAUCAUUUUUACUGCAAGAAUAAAUAUUUUAUCUUUUUUUUAGACAAGUGAUUUAACAUAUAUAUAUUUAUAUAUUUUAAAAUUAUAUGAUUUAAAAUUAUAUAUUCCGUAAGAUACUUUCUAUGGCUUUUUUGAAUAAUGUUUCAUUUAUGGCGGCUAUCUCGAGCAUUAAAUUUUUUUGCUCUUCAGAGAGUAUUGUAUUAAUUUUUAAAAACGACAGUAUGAGUUUCCCGAAGUUCUUAUCUUUGGAGUAGCAAAGUGCCUUUUCUGAGAAUAGUUUUAUAACUUUGCUAAUCAUGUCAUGGUCGAGCUUUAUAGAUAAGAAAUUUUGCAAAACAGUUAUAUGCCAUGGCUUCAGUUCCUCGACGAAUGUAAGGAACUCUCUGCAAAGACAUGAAAUAUUUCUUGUUAGAUGUGUUUACUAUUUCUAAAAUGACUCAAAUAGAACAUAGCAAGUUUAUAUAUGCAAUAGUCACUUUUACAAUCAUUAUAGAUAAAUGCUAAUCUCAAAAUUACUAAAACCUGUAGUGUUUUAUAAUAAUCUCAGAAGAGAAUCAAGAGAUGAUUGAAUUAAUAAUAAUAACGCAAUUAUAGAACGUA
Molecule: long non-coding RNA, 1462 nt
Organism: Odontomachus brunneus
Lineage: Eukaryota; Metazoa; Arthropoda; Insecta; Hymenoptera; Formicidae
Exons: 3
Source: RefSeq, a predicted model, not a curated record